GAAGGCAAGGCAAGGAAAAAGGUGGCGUCUUUCCUUCUCCCCGCACUCCGUCUGUACGCACUCUCGCCUGCCGUCAUCGCCAUGGUCUCCUCCCCGCCGCCGCCGGCCUCCGCUACCACCGACGACGACCGCUACCAAGGUACCGCCCCCUCUUUCUUCUCCGACAAGAACGAGGCCGGACGCAUCAUCGGCAAGGCGGGGUCCCACCUCCGGCGCCCGCAUCACGCUCUCCGGCUGGGGACCGCCGCGUCGUCUUCCUCUCCGGCCCCGUCAUGGACGCCGCCGACCUCGUCCUCAACAACAUCCUCUCCUCUCCUCUCUAGUGUAGAAAAAAAAGGUGGGUUGGACAAUCGAUCAGCUGCGGGCGAUAUUCCUUUGUUAUACUGUCCGAGCUGCUUCACGAUUUCCACUACAAAUCCUCCUACGCAUGGAGGAUUUGCAGUCUGUUUAUCUAGUCUGACUUGGGUGGGUGUGGCAUGCAGGGAGAAUGUUGCAUUCAGGAAGGGAAGAUGGAGAUGGAGAUGGAGAUGGAGAUGGAGAUUUGUGGUUGUAGAGCAGGAAGGGAAGGAGAUGUUGCAUUCACUUGUGUGAAGUGAUAUGUAUGUAAGUGAUGUCCCUGAUCAUGAACCUACCUAGAAUGUUUUGUAUGCAUGUAUUUUUCUAUUCUAUCAGUGCGUUGCCUUGUGCACUCGGAUGCAACAUAGUGCUACUGGCCGAACUAUACUAUCCAUGUCUUUGAUAAUUAGCGGUAUGUAGUUGUUGGUGGCUUGUAGGUGUGUAACAUAGAUGUAUAUAUGUUACUCUUGCUUAAAUGUAUAUAUAUG
This 824-nucleotide long non-coding RNA is filed under the name Hordeum vulgare. RNAcentral describes it as "long non-coding RNA (HVUL_LNC020743)". The record is from RNAcentral. Lineage: Eukaryota; Viridiplantae; Streptophyta; Magnoliopsida; Poales; Poaceae.